Molecule: long non-coding RNA, 254 nt
Filed under: Homo sapiens (human)
Lineage: Eukaryota; Metazoa; Chordata; Mammalia; Primates; Hominidae
Description: non-protein coding LINC01781:15
Source: RNAcentral
GUUAGUUUUAAAUAGACUAUUGACAAAUUACAGAUUUUUUUCACGUAUUGAAAUUAUAUUCCAGAUGAUUUUGAGAUUUACUGGUAUAAUAUUCUCCUCAUGAGGUAGGAUGGAAGGGAAGAAAUAGAGAAAAAAUGUUCUGCUCUGAAAUAAAUGUGGUGUUUCCUGACAGCGUUUGUCAAGAGAUGGGGUUCCACCAUGUAGCCCCGGCUGGUCUUGAGCUCAUGAGCUCAAGCGAUUCACCUGCCUCAGCC